This is a long non-coding RNA of Bos taurus (domestic cattle), 960 nucleotides long. The record is from Ensembl. NCBI's taxonomy places the organism in Eukaryota, Metazoa, Chordata, Mammalia, Artiodactyla, Bovidae.
GAUCCAGGUGCAGGCCUAGAAGGGAGGAUGGGGGUGGGGCUGGAAGGCUUUCUCCUUCAGCAACCUUUCCCCCACCCUACCUGAGCUCCUGGAGUUCUGCCUCUCCCCAGGUUGGGGGCUGGGGCUGGGUUCAGAAUUUUUCUGUAGGACAGCAGUCAGCAUUGGUUUCCCUUUGGCACUUCUAACAACUUGUAAUUAACCCACCCCCCAGCACCAAUAAUAAACCAACUAAGCAGCAGCCUUCACCUUCUCAGAGUCUCAAGCUCCUCUUCCAACCAAACCAGCCAAUCUUCACACGCAGAGGGUCCCAGAUAAGAGUGGGCAGGAGUACUUUGGAAAUUUGAGAAUCGCCUCUAAGAGGUGGUCAGCCUCCAGGGAAUUCCGGUUCUCUCACCCAUCUAGUGGCAGCAAGUGGGCACUGACCUCUGGGCAAGAGGUUUCCAGGGACUCCCAAGCACUGGCUCUUGGUGAGCCUAGGGUGAGGGUAGGGGGCUUGAACAUGGCAGGAAGAAAGGUGGCCACGGGCCCAGGCAGAGGGAAUCAGUCCUUUGGGGCAUCUGCUGUGGCCCAGCUCUCCAACCUCAAGCGGGGGCUCAACCCCCAGACCUCCAGAAAUGACGUCAGAAUCAUUUGCAUCCCGCUGCCUCUACCUGCCUGGUCCAGCUGGGACCCUGCCUCGCCGGCCCCCUGGCCAGAGGGUUGGUCCUCAUUCAACUUCCUCUUCCUGCGAAAGAGGGGCGCUGCCCCGUGACCUACACAGAUUGAGACAGGAUCGCCAUGAAUGGGGAUCUCUGGAAAAGCUCGGGAGCCGAGGCCCGAGGGGUACACCGGAGGUUCAACGGGAGACUCUGGGAGGGGGCUGAAUCACAGCCUCCCAACAGCCUCCCAAUGCCCAGGCUUUGGAAAGGAGCUGGGGGCUUCCCAUCUCCUUUGGCAGGGGAGCGUUGUCAGUCGGAGGGG